GCUGGGCAUAAUGGCUCAUACCUGUAAUCCUAGCAACUCAGGAGGCUGAGGCAGGAGGAUCUCAAGUUUCAAGCCAGCCUUGGCAAUUUAGCAAGACCCUGUCUCAA
This 107-nucleotide small RNA is filed under the name Marmota monax (woodchuck). The record is from RNAcentral. Lineage: Eukaryota; Metazoa; Chordata; Mammalia; Rodentia; Sciuridae.